Molecule: small nuclear RNA, 105 nt
Organism: Schistocerca serialis cubense
Lineage: Eukaryota; Metazoa; Arthropoda; Insecta; Orthoptera; Acrididae
Source: RefSeq, a predicted model, not a curated record
AAAUUCGUCUGUAGUGCAUAUACUAAAACUGGAACGAUGCAGAGAAGCUUGGCGUGGCCCCUGCGCAAGGAUGGCAUGCAAUAUCGUGAAGCGUUAGUACGUAAG